This 318-nucleotide long non-coding RNA is filed under the name Elaeis guineensis (African oil palm). Its description in RNAcentral is "long non-coding RNA (EGUI_LNC021249)". Lineage: Eukaryota; Viridiplantae; Streptophyta; Magnoliopsida; Arecales; Arecaceae. The record is from RNAcentral.
AGUGGAUAUCUAUAGAGGUUGGACAUGUGUGCGGUUCGAGCAUUUACGAAUCUGUGAUCAUCAGAAGUGGUGAAUAUCUACCUGUACCAAGGUAAUAAGAUAUGAUCUCGUAUUUAUUUCUAAACUUCAGAUUGUAUAUAUGUGUUUUCUCCUGGGCUUAGAUAGGAUUAGAUUUGAUCUUUUUCAUGUAGGGUUAAAGAGUUUAACCUAUUUUAUUUUUCACUGCAUUUUUUAAAAGUUUUGAAAUCUACACAUGCUGCCUAUCCGAUUUUCUAAUAACAUCUUCUUGGAGAGAUGAAUACCAUAUUUGAAGGGAAC